This is a long non-coding RNA of Homo sapiens (human), 1344 nucleotides long. Ensembl annotates it as long intergenic non-protein coding RNA 1524. The record is from Ensembl. NCBI's taxonomy places the organism in Eukaryota, Metazoa, Chordata, Mammalia, Primates, Hominidae.
GUCUUGCGCCAGGCGACUGGGUCUGAGGAGGCAGGAGUUAUUCAUUCCCUUAAGCUUUCAGGCCGGGGGGAGAAUCUUUCAGGUGGUAGCUGCAAGAACUCUUAGUAUGUUGACCUCACCUCUGCCUUCCACAUACCACUACCAGUGAGGAAUUAGGAAUGCAUGAGAAGAGUGUCCAAGAAGAGUGUCCUCAUUCAUGCAAGGCUUAAGAGAGAAUGCAGGUCAACAUCACCAUGUCAAUCAGAGGUUGAAGUUGGAGACCAAAUCGUGUACCUCGCUCUCCUGGCACAGGAAAUUGUGUCCAAUGAGGGAUAUUAAAACUGUUAAACCACAAGCACCAGCCAGUCAGGAGAGAAACCCAGGCUGCCAGAACACAUGCUGGAAAUGAACCACUGGCAUCGCCUUGCCAGAGUGUAGCAGUUGAAUGUGGCCUUAAAUGCACUCAUGCUGCUAGUGCAUUUGGUAUGCUUUUAAUCACAUAGUUGUCUUAGAUAGGGACUAGUCGAGUCCAUCACAUGUACUUUUAAUGUCUAUCAAUUAAGCAUAUAUAAAGCAAAGGAGAACAAGAGAAACAAUUUAAUAAAGCUAGUGAAUACACUCCCCAGUCUAUUUAACUCUGUGCUCCAGAGGGAAUGUAGGAUGGGAAAUGAGAAUUUGCUGUUUCUUCAGUUGGUCUUUGUUCCUGCAUUUCACCCAAAGACUGAGCAGUUCCCCCUAUCUGCUGCGGUUCUAACACUGAAAGAGGUAUAUUGGUCUUCUAACAUGGUCCUUAAAUGUAAGUAAGCUAUAAUGUGAACUUGAAAAGCAACCAUCUGUUUCAAUAUUGUAGGAAAAAUGGUCUGUGAUGGGUUUACUGGGAGAUGGGUUGUGAGUAGUUGACAUGACACUCUAAAAAGAUAAUUUUGGCCAUUUGUAAAUUGCACUUCAUGUGCCGCCUUUAGAGCUCAACUCCUGUGUAAGUUGCCACUUCACUAUGUUUGCAUCUUGUACCUGGCCAACCAGUGCACCUUCAAUUUAGAAAGUAUCAUGAAGCCGCCUUCUAGGAAGAUGAAAGUCAAUGUAAAACCAUGCAAAAGGAUCCCCUUCUUAAAGUCACCAUUGAUUUUAGAGAUUUCUAGGCCCAAUAAGCCCCACAUUUUAUCAUUUCAUCUCUUUACACUAUAGUAAGCCCAGAUAAUCUUAUAUUUCAAAGGGUUUCUAGCAUUGUGUCCAUAGAGUAGAAAUAAUAUAGAUGUGUGUUUGACAUCUGAAUCAUCCAUUUCACAUCUUCCAAAUACACCUCUUAGUCCCUUAACAUCUGGGUUUUCCACUUGCCAAAAAAAAAAAAAAAUCCAAAAUUAUGUA